GGGUCGAUGGCGUAGUUGGUUAUCGCAUCUGUCUAACACACAGAAGGUCACAAGUUCGAUCCUUGUUCGACUCA
RNAcentral lists this transfer RNA (74 nucleotides) under Coprinopsis marcescibilis. It matches the Rfam family "tRNA". Rfam says of the family: Transfer RNA (tRNA) molecules are approximately 80 nucleotides in length. Lineage: Eukaryota; Fungi; Basidiomycota; Agaricomycetes; Agaricales; Psathyrellaceae. The record is from Rfam by way of RNAcentral.